AGAGUUGAUCCUGGCUCAGGAUGAACGCUAGCGGUAGGCUUAACACAUGCAAGUCGAACGGUAACAUUUCUUGCUUGCAAGAAGAUGACGAGUGGCGCACGGGUGCGUAACGCGUAUACAACCUACCUUGAACAAAGGGAUAGCCCAUGGAAACGUGGAUUAAUACCUUAUAACAUCUAGAUAUGGCAUCAUAUUUAGAUCAAAGAUUUAUCGGUUUAAGAGGGGUAUGCGUGACAUUAGCUAGUUGGUGAGGUAACGGCCCACCAAGGCAACGAUGUCUAGGGGUUCUGAGAGGAUGAUCCCCCACACUGGUACUGAGACACGGACCAGACUCCUACGGGAGGCAGCAGUGAGGAAUAUUGCGCAAUGGAGGAAACUCUGACGCAGCCAUGCCGCGUGAAGGAAUGAAUGCCCUAUGGGUUGUAAACUUCUUUUAUAUGGGAAGAAAUAUAGAUACGUGUAUUUAUUUGACGGUACCAUACGAAUAAGCACCGGCUAACUCCGUGCCAGCAGCCGCGGUAAUACGGAGGGUGCAAGCGUUAUCCGGAUUCAUUGGGUUUAAAGGGUACGUAGGCGGAUAGAUAAGUCAGUGGUGAAAGCCCGAAGCUCAACUUCGGAACUGCCAUUGAAACUGUUUAUCUUGAAUUUGGUUGAAGUGGGCGGAAUAUGACAUGUAGCGGUGAAAUGCAUAGAUAUGUCAUGGAACACCAAUAGUGAAGACAGCUCACUAAGCCAAUAUUGACGCUGAGGUACGAAAGCAUGGGGAGCGAACAGGAUUAGAUACCCUGGUAGUCCAUGCCGUAAACGAUGAUUACUAGCUAUUAGCGAUACAAUGUUAGUGGCAAAGCGAAAGCAUUAAGUAAUCCACCUGGGAAGUACGGUCGCAAGAUUGAAACUCAAAGGAAUUGACGGGGGCCCGCACAAGCGGUGGAGCAUGUGGUUUAAUUCGAUGAUACGCGAGGACCCUUACCAGGGCUUAAAUGGGGAUUGACAGGACUGGAAACAGUUUUUUCUUCGGACAAUCUUCAAGGUGCUGCAUGGUUGUCGUCAGCUCGUGCUGUGAAGUGUCGGGUUAAGUCCCAUAACGAGCGCAACCCCUAUUUCUAGUUGCUAGCAGGUAAUGCUGAGGACUCUAGAGAAACUGCCCGUGCAAACGGUGAGGAAGGUGGGGAUGACGUCAAAUCAUCACGGCCCUUACGUCCUGGGCUACACAC
This 1214-nucleotide ribosomal RNA is filed under the name metagenome. RNAcentral's name for it is "bacterial SSU rRNA". It matches the Rfam family "Bacterial small subunit ribosomal RNA", at positions 8 to 1221 of the family's 1533-position model. The record is from RNAcentral.